UGGGGAAUAUUGCACAAUGGGGGAAACCCUGAUGCAGCGACGCCGCGUGAGCGAAGAAGGCUUUCGAGUCGUAAAGCUCUGUCCUAUGAGAAGAUAAUGACGGUAUCAUAGGAGGAAGCCCUGGCUAAAUACGUGCCAGCAGCCGCGGUAAUACGUAUGGGGCGAGCGUUGUCCGGAAUUAUUGGGCGUAAAGGGUACGUAGGCGGUUUUUUAAGUCAGGUGUCAAAGCGUGGAGCUUAACUCCAUUAAGCACUUGAAACUGAAAGACUUAAGUGAAGGAGAGGAAAGUGGAAUUCCUAGUGUAGCGGUGAAAUGCGUAGAUAUUAGGAGGAAUACCGGUGGCGAAGGCGACUUUCUGGACUUUUACUGACGCUCAGGUACGAAAGCGUGGGGAGCAAACAGG
RNAcentral lists this ribosomal RNA (403 nucleotides) under Verrucomicrobiota bacterium. RNAcentral describes it as "Verrucomicrobia bacterium partial 16S ribosomal RNA". It matches the Rfam family "Bacterial small subunit ribosomal RNA", at positions 355 to 776 of the family's 1533-position model. The record is from RNAcentral. Lineage: Bacteria; Pseudomonadati; Verrucomicrobiota.